This 250-nucleotide long non-coding RNA is filed under the name Elaeis guineensis (African oil palm). RNAcentral describes it as "long non-coding RNA (EGUI_LNC032405)". Lineage: Eukaryota; Viridiplantae; Streptophyta; Magnoliopsida; Arecales; Arecaceae. The record is from RNAcentral.
UCAUUAAUCAUCAAAAUAGGGAGAUCAUUUCAGAUUGAAUCAUCUUUGUAUUUUUAUUUUUAUUUUUUUGCAUCGAGAAAGAAGAGAGAUAGAGGAAAGAGAGAUAAAGAUGAAUAGAUAGAGGGAGAGAUUUAUAUUCACACUAUGAAACUUUAGGCAACAUUAAAAUGGAGAAGGGGUCUGUGGGGGAGGGAGAGAGAGAGAGAGAGAGUUGUGAUAUCUAAGGUUAAAAUGAUUGGAUGCAUACGCU